UCCCUAUUACUAGGGCAGUCUAGCCAGAGAAAUCCAACUGACUAUAAGGGUUGCGCUCGUUGAUGGACUUAACCAAACAUCUCACGACACGAGCUGACGACGGCCAUGCAUCACCUGUCACUUGGUCCCGAAGGAACAUCGGCCUUUCGGCGCGACUGCCAAGGAUGUCAAGCCUGGGUAAGGUUCUUCGCUUAUCGUCGAAUUAAACAACACGCUCCACCGCUUGUGCGGGUCCCCGUCAAUUCCUUUAUGUUUUAAGCUUGCGCUCGUACUCCACAGGCGGGAUGCUUAACGCGUUAGCUUCGCUACUACACGGGUCGAUACGUAUAACAGCUAGCAUCCAUCGUUUACGGCGUGGACUAC
RNAcentral lists this unclassified non-coding RNA (363 nucleotides) under uncultured bacterium. RNAcentral's name for it is "contains 16S-23S intergenic spacer region". The record is from RNAcentral.